CUACUGUUUUUCUCAACAUAUACUCUAACUGUCCUAUUUUGGGCUGAGAUAUAUCACCAAGCUAAGAAUUUACCAACGAGUAAACUCAGGAUUAUAUAUGGUUUACUAGCACAAGAAGAUUACUGUCAUCUGAUGCAACUGCGGGUGCAUCUCCUUUGACGCCAACACUCGCUGAUCGCUAUGGGAAAGCUGAAGCUGAGAAAGCCGUCUCUAAACCUUCAAAAGUCCAAGCAAUUCUCAAAAACAUAAAACAACUUCUUCACUAUGCAAUUAAUUCGGUGAUAUAUCGGUUAUCGGUUCCCAUGUGAAAUAUCGGUGUUAAAUAUCAGUCAGAAUAUUGAUACCAAUGGUUGGCGCAUAGGUAGAAGUUUUUAGAGCAGUUGUGGGAGAGGAUGCUUACAAACAUCUUGAAGGGGAUACAUGGCAAGAGUUCUCCUUAGACCGGCAAAGUGCCUGGCAUGAGUUUUGCUCUAGCUUAUGUAAUUAACUACGUCGAUGCGACUCAGUGAGAACCUA
Molecule: long non-coding RNA, 516 nt
Organism: Helianthus annuus (common sunflower)
Lineage: Eukaryota; Viridiplantae; Streptophyta; Magnoliopsida; Asterales; Asteraceae
Exons: 3
Source: RefSeq, a predicted model, not a curated record